RNAcentral lists this ribosomal RNA (492 nucleotides) under uncultured bacterium. RNAcentral's name for it is "partial 16S ribosomal RNA". It matches the Rfam family "Bacterial small subunit ribosomal RNA", at positions 29 to 507 of the family's 1533-position model. The record is from RNAcentral.
AGUGAACGCUGGCGGUAGGCCUAACACAUGCAAGUCGAACGGCAGCACAGUAAGAGCUUGCUCUUACGGGUGGCGAGUGGCGGACGGGUGAGGAAUACAUCGGAAUCUACUUUUUCGUGGGGGAUAACGUAGGGAAACUUCCGCUAAUACCGCAUACGACCUACGGGUGAAAGCAGGGGAUCUUCGGACCUUGCGCGAUUGAAUUAGCCGAUGUCGGAUUAGCUAGUUGGCGGGGUAAAGGCCCACCAAGGCGACGAUCCGUAGCUGGUCUGAGAGGAUGAUCAGCCACACUGGAACUGAGACACGGUCCAGACUCCUACGGGAGGCAGCAGUGGGGAAUAUUGGACAAUGGGCGCAAGCCUGAUCCAGCCAUACCGCGUGGGUGAAGAAGGCCUUCGGGUUGUAAAGCCCUUUUGUUGGGAAAGAAAAGCAGCAGGUUAAUACCCCGCUGUUCUGACGGUACCCAAAGAAUAAGCACCGGCUAACUUCGUG